This 953-nucleotide ribosomal RNA is filed under the name uncultured bacterium. RNAcentral's name for it is "bacterial SSU rRNA". It matches the Rfam family "Bacterial small subunit ribosomal RNA", at positions 338 to 1306 of the family's 1533-position model. The record is from RNAcentral.
CCUACGGGAGGCAGCAGUGGGGAAUAUUGCACAAUGGGCGAAAGCCUGAUGCAGCAACGCCGCGUGAGGGACGACGGCCUUCGGGUUGUAAACCUCUUUUAGCAGGGAAGAAGCGAAAGUGACGGUACCUGCAGAAAAAGCACCGGCUAACUACGUGCCAGCAGCCGCGGUAAUACGUAGGGUGCAAGCGUUGUCCGGAAUUAUUGGGCGUAAAGAGCUCGUAGGCGGUUUGUCGCGUCUGCUGUGAAAACCCGAGGCUCAACCUCGGGCCUGCAGUGGGUACGGGCAGACUAGAGUGCGGUAGGGGAGAUUGGAAUUCCUGGUGUAGCGGUGGAAUGCGCAGAUAUCAGGAGGAACACCGAUGGCGAAGGCAGAUCUCUGGGCCGUAACUGACGCUGAGGAGCGAAAGGGUGGGGAGCAAACAGGCUUAGAUACCCUGGUAGUCCACCCCGUAAACGUUGGGAACUAGAUGUGGGGACCAUUCCACGGUCUCCGUGUCGCAGCUAACGCAUUAAGUUCCCCGCCUGGGGAGUACGGCCGCAAGGCUAAAACUCAAAGGAAUUGACGGGGGCCCGCACAAGCGGCGGAGCAUGCGGAUUAAUUCGAUGCAACGCGAAGAACCUUACCAAGGCUUGACAUAUACCGGAAACGGCGAGAGAUCGUCGCCCCGCAAGGUCGGUAUACAGGUGGUGCAUGGUUGUCGUCAGCUCGUGUCGUGAGAUGUUGGGUUAAGUCCCGCAACGAGCGCAACCCUCGUUCUAUGUUGCCAGCACGUAAUGGUGGGAACUCAUGGGAUACUGCCGGGGUCAACUCGGAGGAAGGUGGGGACGACGUCAAAUCAUCAUGCCCCUUAUGUCUUGGGCUUCACGCAUGCUACAUGGCCAGUACAAAGGGCUGCAAUACCGUAAGUGGAGCGAAUCCCAAAAAGCUGGUCCCAGUUCGGAUUGAGGUCU